RNAcentral lists this ribosomal RNA (253 nucleotides) under uncultured bacterium. Its description in RNAcentral is "partial 16S ribosomal RNA". It matches the Rfam family "Bacterial small subunit ribosomal RNA", at positions 524 to 776 of the family's 1533-position model. The record is from RNAcentral.
UACGGGGGGGGCAAGCGUUGUUCGGAAUUACUGGGCGUAAAGGGCUCGUAGGCGGCCAACUAAGUCGGAUGUGAAAUCCCCAGGCUCAACUUGAGAACUGCAUCCGAUACUGGAUGGCUUGAAUUCGGGAGAGGGAUGCAGAAUUCCAGGUGUAGCGGUGAAAUGCGUAGAUAUCUGGAGGAAUACUGGUGGCGAAGGCGGCAUCCUGGACCGACAUUGACGCUGAGGAGCGAAAGCUAGGGGAGCAAACGGG